CGUCAAGUCCUCAUGGCCCUUAUGACCAGGGCUACACACGUGCUACAAUGGCCGGUACAAAGAGUUGCGAUACCGCGAGGUGGAGCUAAUCUCAAUUAAACGCCGGUCUCAGUUCGGAUUGAAGUCUGCAACUCGACUUCAUGAAGUCGGAAUCGCUAGUAAUCGCGGAUCAGCAUGCCGCGGUGAAUACGUUCCCGGGCCUU
Molecule: ribosomal RNA, 203 nt
Filed under: uncultured Geobacter sp.
Lineage: Bacteria; Pseudomonadati; Thermodesulfobacteriota; Desulfuromonadia; Geobacterales; Geobacteraceae
Description: partial 16S ribosomal RNA
Rfam family: Bacterial small subunit ribosomal RNA
Source: RNAcentral